RNAcentral lists this ribosomal RNA (204 nucleotides) under uncultured bacterium. RNAcentral describes it as "partial 16S ribosomal RNA". It matches the Rfam family "Bacterial small subunit ribosomal RNA", at positions 60 to 291 of the family's 1533-position model. The record is from RNAcentral.
GCAGUCGACGCGUCCUUCGGGACGAGUGGCGCACGGGUGAGUAACGCGUGGGAAAUUGCCUUGGAGUGGGGGAUAACCACUGGAAACGGUGGCUAAUACCGCAUACGCCCUACGGGGGAAAGAUUUAUCGCUCCGAGAUGUGCCCGCGUCGGAUUAGGUAGUUGGUGAGGUAAUGGCUCACCAAGCCGACGAUCCGUAGCUGGU